UGCAGAUCGACCGAACGUGUUGAUGACCCCUGCUGUAAAACUGACCAUGAAAUAUCGGCUUCUAGUGAUUGGAGCAGGUCUUUCAGGCCUCACUACUGCCUACACAUUAGCAAAGAAUGGACAUGACGUGACAGUGUUGUUCAAGGAUUCCUGUGGCAUUGUUUCACAAGUAGCGGCAGCAUGUUGGGUGCUUCCAGAAGCUAAAAAACUUCAGGAAUGGGCGAUGUGUAGCUAUCACAAAUUUACUGAGCUAGCAAAAAAAGACANUGCAACAGGAGUUAUCAUUAAGGACUUUCAUUUCGUCUUCAACACAAAGAUACUCGACUCUCCUAAGUACAGUUCAUUUAUGGAAAACCACAAAAACAUCCCGGGAUUCCGUCACUCACGUGAUAUUCUACGAGAAAAAGGCAUCAAUGGAGCUGGAUUGGUUGAUUGCUUUACUUACCAAAGUCCUUUCGUUGAUACUGAUGUUUACCUCAAGUGGCUCACUAAACAGUGUCAGUCAANAGGAGUACGAUUUCAAAAGGGAUCCAUUACCGGGCUAUUGGCAGAUCAAAUCGAUUCUUUAAAAAAAGAAUUCCUUGUAGAUUUAGUUGUGAAUUGUNCGGGUCUUGGUGCCAAGGAACUGGCUGGUGAUGAAGACGUUUUCCCUGGAGUAGGAGCUGCUUUUCUUUUUCAAAAAAGCGACAAAUCGUUGCUCGAUUUCGGUAUUAAUUGUCAGGUGGUUUGGGUGGAUGAAGAAUUCCAUGCAUAUGGACACUUUAUAAUGAUCCCACGCAAUGAAGACGGUUUAUAUUGGAUUGGAACGCUCAAUGCUGGAAACACCGAUACAAAACAGUUGCACGCACAUCAUCCUAUUGUACAACGAAUGCUCGACGAAUGCAUCAGUAUCUAUCCCAAAUUAAAGGACAUCAUUGCUGGACAGCAGAUAACUUUAUUGGUCGGUUCCAGGCCUAUGCGCAAGGGAGGUCCACGUGUUGAACAAGAUGAUCAGUGUCAAUCAAUUAUUCACAAUUACGGGCAUUCUGCUUAUGGUUGUAUACUAUCAUGGGGUUCUGCUGAGGAGGUUUUGCGUGUUGUUGAACAUACUGGAUUCAUGAAGACUGCUAAGUUAUGAUGCAUUGCUCGUCAGCUUAACUAACUCACUAAAAAACAAACUGCUUCCCUAAAAAAAAACUAUAAGAAUAACAAAAACAACGAUGUUACUUUGGCAAACAACACAAAGUCGAGAAUUGACCAACAUUCUGUAAACGUUUGUUUCCGGACCUGAAACAUUGGUUUGUACUGUUGUAGCUUCUUAGCUGGAUUGUUUAAUAAAACAAAUAAAUCGCGGCUUGUCCAACAUGCAAAAAAAUG
Molecule: unclassified non-coding RNA, 1356 nt
Filed under: Exaiptasia diaphana
Lineage: Eukaryota; Metazoa; Cnidaria; Anthozoa; Actiniaria; Aiptasiidae
Description: d-amino-acid oxidase, transcript variant X1
Source: RNAcentral